CGUUAAAGCUUCAUUGUUUUUAUCAAAAAUACCAUCAAUUAACUGUAACCCUUCAUCUGUACUGAAUGAUUUCAUAAUUAUAUGAAAGCCUAUAUGUUAGAACUAGUAACAAGAAGAAGCCCUUCUCCAAAAUGUAAGCAUAAGCCAAAAUGAACUACUCAUUGGCAUUUAAAGUUAUAAACCUAUUGUAGCAACUUAACAAGAAAAACCUACAACUGCAAACGUCAACCUUACACCAGCACAUUUCUGGAAAGAUAAAAAGAAUAGGAAGGAACUCGGCAAAUAACUAACCCCGCCUGUUUACCAAAAACAUCGCCUCCUGAUCACCCAUAGGAGGUCCAGCCUGCCCAGUGACUAAAUUAAACGGCCGCGGUACACUAACCGUGCAAAGGUAGCGCAAUCACUUGUUCUUUAAAUGAGGACUAGUAUGAAUGGCAUCACGAGGGUUAUGCUGUCUCCCUAUUCCACUCAGUGAAACUGAUCUCCCCGUGAAGAAGCGGGGAUAAAAAUAUAAGACGAGAAGACCCCAUGGAGCUUUAAACUCAGUACCAACUGCCUAAUUAAGAACCUUUCAUCCCUGCAGCCAUGGUUACUAGUUUUCGGUUGGGGUGACCACGGAGUAAAAUUAAACCUCCAUGAUGAAAGGAACUAACAACCUAACCUAUGAGCUACAGCUCUAAGCAUCAAUAAAUUGACUAAUUGAUCCAAUCAGUUGAUCAACGAACCUAGUUACCCUGGGGAUAACAGCGCAAUCCAUUUCAAGAGCUCAUAUCGACAAAUGGGUUUACGACCUCGAUGUUGGAUCAGGGUAUCCCAGUGGCGCAGCCGCUACUAA
Molecule: ribosomal RNA, 835 nt
Filed under: Microhyla chakrapanii
Lineage: Eukaryota; Metazoa; Chordata; Amphibia; Anura; Microhylidae
Description: partial large subunit ribosomal RNA
Rfam family: Bacterial large subunit ribosomal RNA
Source: RNAcentral